GGAAUCUUCCACAAUGGGCGCAAGCCUGAUGGAGCAACACCGCGUGAGUGAAGAAGGGUUUCGGCUCGUAAAGCUCUGUUGUUAAAGAAGAACAUGUAUGAGAGUAACUGUUCAUACGUUGACGGUAUUUAACCAGAAAGUCACGGCUAACUACGUGCCAG
RNAcentral lists this ribosomal RNA (161 nucleotides) under uncultured bacterium. RNAcentral describes it as "partial 16S rRNA". It matches the Rfam family "Bacterial small subunit ribosomal RNA", at positions 358 to 511 of the family's 1533-position model. The record is from RNAcentral.